Molecule: long non-coding RNA, 938 nt
Filed under: Nicotiana tabacum (common tobacco)
Lineage: Eukaryota; Viridiplantae; Streptophyta; Magnoliopsida; Solanales; Solanaceae
Description: long non-coding RNA (NTAB_LNC012883)
Source: RNAcentral
UCCAUUAUUUCCUUCUUUUCCUUUGCGUUUUCCCUUUAGAAAAAUCCUCCCCAUCACUUCACUAUUACUCAUAUACUAUCUUUCUUCUUUUAAAUCCUUCCUUAUAAUAGUCCUUGGAGUUUAUUUAGAGUAAUGAACGUUGCAUUAUUCUCUGUUUUAUCAACAUUUGGCUUCGAUCCUCAGAAUACUUGGAACGUGACAGGUAAUUGGCUUAGCUGCUUCUGGUUGGUCUCUAAUUUUUACCAAACAAAUUUACUAGUAUUUGAUUUUUCAUUGCAUUUGUUUCAAGAUAGUGUUGACUUUUAUUUUCUAUUUUUAUUGUUGAUAAGGUUUUAUGAAUUGUAUUUACUCUUAUAAUCAGUUAUUUUUUAAUAGAUGAAGUUUCCUUGUGUUUGCCUACUUGAAUUUCUUACUGCAGAUCGCAUGGAAAGUAAUGUACCGUGGGCACCACAAAUAUGAAGAGAGAAGAUAGAUCAACUAAUCAAGAUUGAAGGUAUGACACUAUUUUCUCCUUUCGUCCUACUUGUGCAAAUAUACAAAAGUAUAUAUAUACAACAAUAUCCAUGUGGAUUACUUAACUCUUAAACAGGGUGCAUACUGGGUUCUUCUGUGGGAAAGAAAAGGAAAAACAUAAUAUCUUAUUGUGUAGAGUUACUAAAUCGGUAACUACAAGGAUUAAUUUUAGUUUCUUGUAUCCAGCCAAAGUCGUGUAACAUGUAUGCAGUUCAAUAUUUGCACAAUUGCACUGAUAAUUCAGAAAUCGACAAGCAUUUAUAUAUUCUUUAAAGUUGUCUAACAUGUAGCACCACUCCAGUGAUAUUUUUCGAGAGCUCGAGCAAACACUUAUGCCUUGGAUAGAUCCGUUUGAGUCCAUAAUAUCGUCAUUUUUUCCUCCAUUGAUUGAUUUUUGGCUCAACACAUUUUGAUUUUAAACCAAU